CAUACAGUAGUGACUACAGUUCCUGCUGGAAUGACUUGGAUUAAGCAAAUAUACUUCCAUUUAAAUAGUCUUAGGGGAGACUAUUUAAAUGGAAUAAAUGGUCUCCCCUAAGACUAUUUAAACAGAAUAGGUUUGGUUUCACACUCAACCUGAUUCUACCAAGCCCUGGUUCAUUUGCGUUCAUCUUAUGUGCACAAAUGUGCAUGGCGCACGAUAGAAAACAGGACGCGGGUCAAUAUAUUGUGUUUUUUAUUAAUUUGGAGAGAGAGCGGUUAAUCAGGUGCACCAUCAUGUGGUCGGAUCAUUUUGUUCUCUUAACUGUUGUCACUGCCGUAUUAUCAACAUGUCUAAUUGUUUGCUAACAUUUUUAUUCUAAACAGUGAUUUCUCGAUUUAAAAAUAAUAAAAUCGUGGCAAAACAUUAAAUUCAAAUUAAUAAUAAAAAAAAUUAAAAAUCAGAAAAAUCUCCCAGCCCUAGUUUCAGUGCAACCAAACUCAUUUUUGGCUGAACUAUUCAUUUAAGCUUAACACUCACUGAUUCUCAUAGACCUUUUUUGACCUUUUUAGACCUCUAGAGCUGUAGAGUUCUCUUCAUAGCACCAUAUAUGGCACUCUGGGCAUGAACGAUAUUCGCUAUCACAGUUCGAGGUUGUGUAGCCAUUCCAGAGAAGUGAAACUUCAUGUUCCAGAUGGCACUUCUGACUUUUACUGACUUCUCUCCCAGACCCGAGGUCCCUGUCCACUUAUGAGUGUUGUAGUUACAUAUACAUCCAGCAUCCUGUGUCCCCCCCCCCCCCAAAUACGUCUAGCACUUGGAUCAAGUGUUUGUAGAAGACAGCAGGGGGCCUCUGGCCUGUUUUGCAAACUAUUAAAAGUGUGUUGUUGUGGCAACCGUGAGAUCUGUUUUCUCAGGAGCGAACGACUGAAGUGUUUGUAUGCAUAGUUUUGAGAACUCCAUACGUCUCUUGUAGUAGUACCGUUUCAGUGCCGUUUCAAGCCUGUGAAUGAGGAUGUACAAACCUAAAUAUUGUUGUGACCCCAUCUAGGGUGAGGCUGCGACAUGAAAUGAGUCGAAACAACUAUGACUUCUUUCAAUAUUUUAUUUAUUUAAUAUUUUGGUUUAUUUAUUAGAACUGUCUCUCUGAGAAACUAUCUUUAAUAUAUUUAAUAUAUUUAGUGGUAGUGUUAAAGAGGGACUAGUUGACCUCAUUGAUUAACUGGAGAACUUCUCAACCAUCUUGACUGUAUUAGGGCCCUAUGAAAUCCAUUUUAUUUUUCCCCAAAUUAUGUAUUUUCCGUUUUAAUUUUUCUAGAUUCUGUUUUAAUAGUUUAAUUAAAUUUUAAUAAUCAAAUAAAAAAUGUCUAAUCAAUUGAAUUCAUGAAACUUCAACAAUUCAAUAAUUUAUUAAAAUUUUAUCAAUAAUAGAGUCCUAUAUAAAACCCCCCAGUGUUGUCUGUUUUAUUUUUUUCUGAAUUUUGUAUUUUAUUUAAUGCAAAUUUUAACUUUAACAUUUCAUCUUUUUAUAUUGAUCUUGUGUGAUAUUCCUUAAAACAUCUUUUAAUAAACUGUAUUAUUAUUAGUUAUUAUUAGUUUGGAGCAGUACAUUGUACUGUACAAUAGAAAUAUAUUUCUGGUAUAAUUUCAUAAGUUUAACCAAACUUUUAUUUUAGCAGGUUGUAGUGUGAAGACCUUUGAUUUUCUGUGUGUAUCUGAUUUUAUUAAUGAUUAAUCGUGCAGCCCUAACUUUGAUUUAUUCAUCCACAUUUUGUCCAAUUCUGUGACAUUCUGCGUUAUACAAUAAAUUGAAUUUUUAUGAC
Ctenopharyngodon idella (grass carp) is the source of this 1817-nucleotide long non-coding RNA. RefSeq lists it as uncharacterized. The transcript has 2 exons. NCBI's taxonomy places the organism in Eukaryota, Metazoa, Chordata, Actinopteri, Cypriniformes, Xenocyprididae. The record is from RefSeq and is a predicted model, not a curated record.